GUUCUUAAAACCCAAAGAAUUUGGCGGUGUUUUAGUCUGUUUAGAGGAAUUUGCCCCUUAAUCGAUAGUCCUCGUUUUAUCUUACUUGAUUUUGUUUUCAGUAUGUAUACCGCCGUUAUAAGUUUAUUUUUGUAGGAUGAUUUACUCUAUAGUUUAUUUUCUAUUAUUUCAGGUCAAGGUGCAGCUAAUAAUUAAGUGGUGGUGGAUUACAUUAUAAUUUAUUUAUUACGGAUAUUUAUAUUAAAAGUUUAUUGAAGGUGGAUUUGAUAGUAAUUUUAAAGACAGUGUUAAUUUGAUUUUAGCUCUAGAAUAAGUACACAUCGCCCGAUCGCUCUA
This 336-nucleotide ribosomal RNA is filed under the name Xerosomatinae sp. SB0571. RNAcentral's name for it is "partial small subunit ribosomal RNA". The record is from RNAcentral. Lineage: Eukaryota; Metazoa; Arthropoda; Insecta; Phasmatodea; Pseudophasmatidae.